This 73-nucleotide transfer RNA is filed under the name Lachnospiraceae bacterium OF09-6. Its description in RNAcentral is "tRNA-Leu". It matches the Rfam family "tRNA". Rfam says of the family: Transfer RNA (tRNA) molecules are approximately 80 nucleotides in length. Their secondary structure includes four short double-helical elements and three loops (D, anti-codon, and T loops). Lineage: Bacteria; Bacillati; Bacillota; Clostridia; Lachnospirales; Lachnospiraceae. The record is from RNAcentral.
UUUAAAGUGGCGCAGUUGGAAGCGCACAUGACUAAGAAUCAUGUUGUCGCAGGUUCGAAUCCUGCCUUUGUAA